CCUACGGGAGACAGCAGUGGGGAAUUUUGCGCAAUGCUCGUAAGAGUGACGCAGCGACGCCGCGUGAAUGACGAAGGCCUUCGGGUCGUAAAGUUCUUUCGACAGGGAAGAAAAUGCCUAUAAGUACCUGUGUAUGUAUUGACGGUACCUGUAUAAGCAGCCCCGGCUAACUCCGUGCCAGCAGCCGCGGUAAUACGGAGGGGGCGAGCGUUGUUCGGAGGGACUGGGCGUAAAGAGCACGUAGGCGGUGUUGUAAGUCAUUAGUCAAAGACUAGAGCUCAACUUUAGUAAGGCUAGUGAUACUAUAAUACUAGAGUAUCAGAGAGGAUUGCAGAAUUCCUGGUGUAGCGGUGAAAUGCGUAGAUAUCAGGAGGAAUACCGUUAGCGAAGGCGGCAAUCUGGCUGGAAACUGACGCUGAGGUGCGAAAGCGUGGGUAGCAAACAGGAUUAGAUACCCUGGUAGUC
This 465-nucleotide ribosomal RNA is filed under the name uncultured bacterium. RNAcentral's name for it is "partial 16S ribosomal RNA". It matches the Rfam family "Bacterial small subunit ribosomal RNA", at positions 338 to 795 of the family's 1533-position model. The record is from RNAcentral.